This 253-nucleotide ribosomal RNA is filed under the name uncultured bacterium. RNAcentral's name for it is "partial 16S ribosomal RNA". It matches the Rfam family "Bacterial small subunit ribosomal RNA", at positions 524 to 776 of the family's 1533-position model. The record is from RNAcentral.
UACGGAGGGUGCAAGCGUUAUCCGGAUUUACUGGGUUUAAAGGGUGCGUAGGUGGAUUUGUAAGUCAGUGGUGAAAUCUCCGAGCUUAACUCGGAAACUGCCAUUGAUACUAUAAGUCUUGAAUUAUCUGGAGGUAAGCGGAAUAUGUCAUGUAGCGGUGAAAUGCUUUGAUAUGACAUAGAACACCAAUUGCGAAGGCAGCUUACUACGGGUAUAUUGACACUGAGGCACGAGAGUGUGGGGAUCAAUCAGG